UCCAACAACCAACUCACCGGCGAGGUUCCGGCGGAGUUGUUGAAGCUGAAGCUUAAUCAGUUCAACGUCUCCGAUAACAAACUCUCCGGCAAGAUCCCUUCUGGUUUUCAACAAGAUAUUUUUCUACCGAGUUUUUUGGGUAACCCGGAUCUCUGCGCCCCGGAUAUGGAUCCGAUUCGACCUUGCCGAUCCAAACCCGAGCCCCGGUUUAUCCUUUUUAUCUCCGUCGUCUGCAUCGUUGCACUAAUCGGAGCUUUGGUUUGGCUUUUUAUCAAAACCAAACCGUUAUUCCAGAGAAAACCGAACCGGACCGAUAAAGUAACCAUUUUCCAGCGGAUCGGGUUCACAGAGGAAGACAUAUACCCGCAAUUAACAGAAGAUAACAUAAUCGGGUCGGGCGGGUCGGGUUUGGUUUACAGAGUGACACUAAAGUCAGGCCAAACGCUCGCGGUGAAGAAACUUUGGGGUGGACCGGGUCAUAAACCCGAAUCCGAAUCCGUUUUCAGAUCCGAGGUAGAGAUUCUGGGUCGGGUCAGACAUGGUAACAUAGUGAAGCUUCUCAUGUGCUGCAGCGGCGAAGAGUUUCGGUUUCUAGUGUACGAGCAUAUGGAAAACGGCAGCUUGGGCGACGUUUUGCAUUCAGAGAAAGAACAUCGCGCCGUUUCUCCGCUGGAUUGGACGACAAGGUUUUCGAUCGCGCUUGGUGCAGCUCAAGGACUUGCUUAUCUACAUCAUGACUCUGUUCCGGCGAUUGUUCACCGUGACGUCAAAAGCAAUAAUAUAUUGUUGGACCAUGAGAUGAAGCCACGUGUUGCUGAUUUCGGUUUGGCUAAACCGUUGAAAAGAGAAGACAAUAAUGGUGUCUUUGAUGUUUCUCCUAUGUCUUGUGUUGCUGGAUCCUACGGCUACAUUGCUCCAGGUUCGAAUUCUAAAUGCUAAACCGAAAUAACAAAUAUUUUUUACUGUUAUUUUUUAUUCUGUUGUUGUGAUUGCACAUGCAGAAUAUGGUUAUACGUCGAGAGUGAAUGAGAAGAGCGAUGUGUAUAGUUUCGGUGUCGUGUUACUCGAAUUGAUUACGGGUAAAAGGCCAAAUGAUUCUUCGUUUGGGGAGAAUAAAGACAUUGUUAAGUUUGCAAUGGAGUCAGCUUUGUCUUACUCUUCUCCAUCACCUGAAGACAAAGCUAUGAAUCAAGAUUCACUUGGAAAUUUUCGAGAUCUUCGCAAGGUUGUGGAUCCAAAGAUGGAACUUUCUACGAGGGAAUAUGAAGAGGUAGAGAGAGUUCUCGAGAUUGCAUUACUUUGCACGUCUUCGUUUCCUAUUAGUAGGCCGACCAUGAGGAAAGUAGUAGAGCUGCUCAAAGAGAAGAAGCCACUUGAGUGAGACGGUGCUCGUUUCUUCAUCUGGUUUUAAUACUAAGAUUGUUACUUAAUCAUAGGUGGGCUACUGGAAAACUAAUUUUAAAAACUUAAAUAGCUAGUUAUCUUUUUUUUUGUUAAUUUAAAGAUUAAGAAGCAUGGACUAAGCUAUAAGAUUUUGCAAACUUUAAAUUUAAUAGUCUAAAAGACAAUUAUUGUUGAUGUUCUCGAUAAACCAAUAUACGAGGCAGAUAUAUGUACCAAUCCUCUUCGAAUAAACAGCGUUGGUGUAACUCAUGCUCCAAAAGCAUUUUGCAUCACCAUCAAGAGUGUUUUUGCUUCAAGAGGGAUCUAUGUUCAAGUUUAUUCCAAGACUUACAUUGAAGACAAAUGCCGAUGUUUGAAUUGUUAGUACCUUCUACUCUUGCUCGUUUUAUCUUAAAUUAAUCAAGAGUUUUAUUGACGUUAAUCUAAAGAUAUGAUAGCUUUUGUAGUCCAAUUAAUAAUCUCAUUAAAGAUUCAUGUUAAAAUUGAGUUCAAAUUUCAGAAAGACGAUUCAUUUACCCAUUAUACCACCAGUUAAAUAAGAACUUAACAUUUUUUUGGUUAUAGUAAAAAUAUAAUUUUAGACAAUUGAUCUUCAUAAAUCAGUUAAUAGAUAUACAUAUACAAUUGUAAUAUGUAAAUUUUCAUAAGACAUAUGUCAGUUGUAGAGUUCAUGAUAGCAUAAAUAAAAAUGCUAAACAUGAAUUUUUACAGUUGUCCAGUUUAGAAUGUAAUAAUAAUAAAUAUAAAUUAAUGUUGGAAACACAAAUGUUUUUCUUUUACAAACUAAAAAAACUCUUGGGCCAAAGAAUAUGGUAUUGGGCAGUAACAUCUGGCCCAUUAGAUAUCCACAAGCCUUCUUCUUUCAAUUUAGGGCUCCAGAGACGACCACGUCGCCUCUGUCACGAAACCGCCAGUGACGCUAUCGUCUUUCACAUCCGAUAAGCAUAAGAAAAGCAAAUCGAAGAGAAGAGAAACAACGCAACAAUUGGAAAAAAAAAUGGCGUCUAAGGCUAUCUUCUCCACAAUCCGCCGAUCUCUAACGAAACCACGCGGCGGCGCAGUUUCCCGAGGCCACCACUUGUCCACCUCCGCCGCGACGGCGUCCGAAUCCUACGCAGGCGACGAACACGCGAUCGUGAUGAAAGGAGUUCGAAUCUCAGGCAGGCCUCUCUACCUCGAUAUGCAGUCGACGACCCCGCUCGACCCCAGAGUCUUCGACGCGAUGAACGCCUCUUCCAUCUACGACUACGGGAACCCGCACUCGCGCACGCAUCUCUACGGCUGGGAAGCGGAGAACGCCGUCGAGGUGGCUCGAAUCCAGGUCGCGAAGCUCAUCGGCGCCUCGCCGAAGGAGAUCGUGUUCUUGUCCGGCGCCACGGAGGCGAACAACACGGUGGUGAAGGGCGUGAUGCACUUCUACAAGGACAAGAAGAGGCACGUGAUCACCACGCAGACUGAGCACAAGUGCGUUCUCGACUCGUGCAGGCAUUUGCAGCAGGAAGGCUUCGAGGUAACGUACUUGCCGGUUAAAACCGACGGUUUAGUUGAUUUAGAGAUGCUGAGAGAUUCUAUUAGACCGGAUACCGGUUUAGUUUCGGUUAUGGCUGUGAACAAUGAGAUUGGCGUGGUGCAACCUAUGGAGGAGAUUGGUAGGAUUUGCAAGGAGCAUAAGAUCCCGUUUCAUACCGAUGCUGCUCAAGCUAUAGGGAAGAUACCUGUUGAUGUUGAGAAGUGGAACGUUAGUUUCAUGUCGAUGAGUGGGCACAAGAUCUACGGACCGAAAGGUGUUGGUGCUAUGUACGUUAGAAGGAGGCCGAGGGUGAGGCUCGAGCCGUUGAUGAACGGUCCGGUGAGUUGCCGCCGUAUCUAUGCUAUGGGAAGAAACUUGAAAAGCUAAUUAGUUUCAGUAAUCAGUUAAGCGGCGAGAUCCCGGAAACUUACGGUGAGUGCGACUCGCUUAAUUAUAUUAGAAUGGCGGAUAACAAACUCUCCGGCGAAGUUCCGGUUAGGUUUUCGGAGCUUCCUCUUACUCGUCUCGAGCUAUCCAACAACCGAUUACAAGGUUCGAUUCCUCCGUCGAUAUCCAAAGCUCGUCAGCUCUCUCAGCUCGAAAUCUCCGGAAACAAGUUCUCCGGUGCGAUUCCGGUGAGAAUCUGUGAUCUCGGAGGACUCAGGGUCGUCGAUCUCAGCCGUAACCGUUUCUCAGGAUCUAUCCCGUCUUGCAUUAACAGAUUGAAGAAUCUGGAGAGAUUGGAGAUGCAGGAGAACAUGCUCGACGGCGAGAUCCCGAGUUCGGUGAGUUCAUGCGCCAAGUUAACCGAGUUGAAUCUCUCCGAUAACCGCCUCCGCGGCGGAAUCCCACCGGAGCUCGGGGAAUUACCGGUUUUGAACUAUCUGGAUCUCUCCAACAACCAACUCACCGGCGAGGUUCCGGCGGAGUUGUUGAAGCUGAAGCUUAAUCAGUUCAACGUCUCCGAUAACAAACUCUCCGGCAAGAUCCCUUCUGGUUUUCAACAAGAUAUUUUUCUACCGAGUUUUUUGGGUAACCCGGAUCUCUGCGCCCCGGAUAUGGAUCCGAUUCGACCUUGCCGAUCCAAACCCGAGCCCCGGUUUAUCCUUUUUAUCUCCGUCGUCUGCAUCGUUGCACUAAUCGGAGCUUUGGUUUGGCUUUUUAUCAAAACCAAACCGUUAUUCCAGAGAAAACCGAACCGGACCGAUAAAGUAACCAUUUUCCAGCGGAUCGGGUUCACAGAGGAAGACAUAUACCCGCAAUUAACAGAAGAUAACAUAAUCGGGUCGGGCGGGUCGGGUUUGGUUUACAGAGUGACACUCAAAUCAGGCCAAACGCUCGCGGUGAAGAAACUUUGGGGUGGACCGGGUCAUAAACCCGAAUCCGAAUCCGUUUUCAGAUCCGAGGUAGAGAUUCUGGGUCGGGUCAGACAUGGUAACAUAGUGAAGCUUCUCAUGUGCUGCAGCGGCGAAGAGUUUCGGUUUCUAGUGUACGAGCAUAUGGAAAACGGCAGCUUGGGCGACGUUUUGCAUUCAGAGAAAGAACAUCGCGCCGUUUCUCCGCUGGAUUGGACGACAAGGUUUUCGAUCGCGCUUGGUGCAGCUCAAGGACUUGCUUAUCUACAUCAUGACUCUGUUCCGGCGAUUGUUCACCGUGACGUCAAAAGCAAUAAUAUAUUGUUGGACCAUGAGAUGAAGCCACGUGUUGCUGAUUUCGGUUUGGCUAAACCGUUGAAAAGAGAAGACAAUAAUGGUGUCUUUGAUGUUUCUCCUAUGUCUUGUGUUGCUGGAUCCUACGGCUACAUUGCUCCAGGUUCGAAUUCUAAAUGCUAAACCGAAAUAACAAAUAUUUUUUACUGUUAUUUUUUAUUCUGUUGUUGUGAUUGCACAUGCAGAAUAUGGUUAUACGUCGAGAGUGAAUGAGAAGAGCGAUGUGUAUAGUUUCGGUGUCGUGUUACUCGAAUUGAUUACGGGUAAAAGGCCAAAUGAUUCUUCGUUUGGGGAGAAUAAAGACAUUGUUAAGUUUGCAAUGGAGUCAGCUUUGUCUUACUCUUCUCCAUCACCUGAAGACAAAGCUAUGAAUCAAGAUUCACUUGGAAAUUUUCGAGAUCUUCGCAAGGUUGUGGAUCCAAAGAUGGAACUUUCUACGAGGGAAUAUGAAGAGGUAGAGAGAGUUCUCGAGAUUGCAUUACUUUGCACGUCUUCGUUUCCUAUUAGUAGGCCGACCAUGAGGAAAGUAGUAGAGCUGCUCAAAGAGAAGAAGCCACUUGAGUGAGACGGUGCUCGUUUCUUCAUCUGGUUUUAAUACUAAGAUUGUUACUUAAUCAUAGGUGGGCUACUGGAAAACUAAUUUUAAAAACUUAAAUAGCUAGUUAUCUUUUUUUUUGUUAAUUUAAAGAUUAAGAAGCAUGGACUAAGCUAUAAGAUUUUGCAAACUUUAAAUUUAAUAGUCUAAAAGACAAUUAUUGUUGAUGUUCUCGAUAAACCAAUAUACGAGGCAGAUAUAUGUACCAAUCCUCUUCGAAUAAACAGCGUUGGUGUAACUCAUGCUCCAAAAGCAUUUUGCAUCACCAUCAAGAGUGUUUUUGCUUCAAGAGGGAUCUAUGUUCAAGUUUAUUCCAAGACUUACAUUGAAGACAAAUGCCGAUGUUUGAAUUGUUAGUACCUUCUACUCUUGCUCGUUUUAUCUUAAAUUAAUCAAGAGUUUUAUUGACGUUAAUCUAAAGAUAUGAUAGCUUUUGUAGUCCAAUUAAUAAUCUCAUUAAAGAUUCAUGUUAAAAUUGA
Molecule: long non-coding RNA, 5697 nt
Filed under: Brassica napus (rape)
Lineage: Eukaryota; Viridiplantae; Streptophyta; Magnoliopsida; Brassicales; Brassicaceae
Description: long non-coding RNA (BNAP_LNC022551)
Source: RNAcentral